UAUAUAAAACAAGAACUAUCUUUAAAAAAGAUAUCCGAUGUAUUUAAAUUUGAGUAUAUGUUUAAAACUUUCAUUUGGAUAACCUUCAGAAGCACAAAGAUACCAUUUAAAUAACGUUUUCUCUGUUUGUGUUCAAUAUUCUCGGUCCUCGUAUCUUUCUGUUUACAUUCACCAAAACCCCGCGGAAAUCUCACAUGCGUAAGUGCGUUCUAAAAGUCAUGUACGUUCGUACAACAAAGUUUACAUUAAAAAUUAUAUAAUUGUCCCGAAUAAACAGCUGUCACGGAUGCAAAGAGAUAUUGGAGAAGCAAUUAUUUUAAUAAAAAUAUAAACCUUUGUAAGAUCUAGUUGAAAUAUUUAUAGUUUUUUACUUGCUUUCCAUCACGAUAUAAUUAACGAGACGUUUUUUUCAAACACAACCAAAUCACCCAC
RNAcentral lists this long non-coding RNA (432 nucleotides) under Mytilus galloprovincialis (Mediterranean mussel). Lineage: Eukaryota; Metazoa; Mollusca; Bivalvia; Mytilida; Mytilidae. The record is from RNAcentral.